Molecule: long non-coding RNA, 512 nt
Filed under: Homo sapiens (human)
Lineage: Eukaryota; Metazoa; Chordata; Mammalia; Primates; Hominidae
Description: non-protein coding lnc-LURAP1L-4:2
Source: RNAcentral
AAUAAUGCAGAGUGGUACAGGCUGAAGCGGAGCGGAGAGGACACUGUUUCAAGAUUCCUGCGCCAGCUCCUUCGUUGUUAUAGAAGUUGGACUAAAUAAAAGGGUAAUCACAAGCGUACAGAUAACAGGCAGGCAGGAAUGUGAAAAUCAGAGAGAAGAGAGAUGUGCACCAGAAGCUGGAGUAAUGUGCUUUGAAGAUGGAGGAAGGGACCAUAAAUCAAGGAAUGCAGACAGCCUGUAGAAGCUGGGAAAGGCAAGGAUGUGGAUUCACUCGAGUCUCUAGAAGAAACGCAACCCCGCCAACACCUUGAUUUGAGGACGUCUGACCUUCAGAAUGAGAAAAUGAUACAUUUGUGUUGUAAGCCACCCAGUUUGUGAAAUAUGUAUCAACAAUUGAAAACUAGUACAUAGUCAAAUACUCAAUCUCUGUUUUUUUUAGCUUAUCAUUUUCAAUCUCUGUCUCCAACCCACAAACCACAUGCAUCAUAAAUAAAUUAAAAUACCAAAACUUU